UGAGGAAUCUUCCACAAUGGGCGAAAGCCUGAUGGAGCGACACCGCGUGAAGGAUGAAGGCUUUGUUGUUGUAAACUUCUUUUCUCUGGGAAGAUAAUGACGGUACCAGAGGAAUAAGGGACGGCUAACUACGUGCCAGCAGCCGCGGUAAUACGUAGGUCCCAAGCGUUGUUCGGAAUUACUGGGCGUAAAGGGCGCGUAGGCGGUUCGCUAAGUCAGGUGUGAAAUCCCCCGGCUCAACUGGGGAACUGCGCUUGAAACUGGCAGACUUGAGUACGGGAGAGGGUAGCGGAAUUCCGAGUGUAGAGGUGAAAUUCGUAGAUAUCAGGAGGAACACCGGUGGCGAAGGCGACUUUCUGGCCCUAUACUGACGCUGAGACGCGAGAGCGUGGGUAGCAAACAGG
RNAcentral lists this ribosomal RNA (404 nucleotides) under uncultured bacterium. RNAcentral describes it as "bacterial SSU rRNA". It matches the Rfam family "Bacterial small subunit ribosomal RNA", at positions 355 to 776 of the family's 1533-position model. The record is from RNAcentral.